This 2928-nucleotide ribosomal RNA is filed under the name Klebsiella grimontii. RNAcentral describes it as "23S ribosomal RNA". It matches the Rfam family "Bacterial large subunit ribosomal RNA". Lineage: Bacteria; Pseudomonadati; Pseudomonadota; Gammaproteobacteria; Enterobacterales; Enterobacteriaceae. The record is from RNAcentral.
GGGUUGUGAGGUUAAGCGACUAAGCGUACACGGUGGAUGCCCUGGCAGUCAGAGGCGAUGAAGGACGUGCUAAUCUGCGAAAAGCGUCGGUAAGGUGAUAUGAACCGUUAUAGCCGGCGAUGUCCGAAUGGGGAAACCCAGUGCAAUUCGUUGCACUAUCGUUUGAUGAAUACAUAGUCAAACGAGGCGAACCGGGGGAACUGAAACAUCUAAGUACCCCGAGGAAAAGAAAUCAACCGAGAUUCCCCCAGUAGCGGCGAGCGAACGGGGAGCAGCCCGGAGUCUGAAUCAGCUUGUGUGUUAGUGGAAGCGUCUGGAAAGUCGCAGGGUACAGGGUGAUACUCCCGUACACUAAAACGCACAGGUUGUGAACUCGAAGAGUAGGGCGGGACACGUGGUAUCCUGUCUGAAUAUGGGGGGACCAUCCUCCAAGGCUAAAUACUCCUGACUGACCGAUAGUGAACCAGUACCGUGAGGGAAAGGCGAAAAGAACCCCGGCGAGGGGAGUGAAAAAGAACCUGAAACCGUGUACGUACAAGCAGUAGGAGCCUCUUUAUGGGGUGACUGCGUACCUUUUGUAUAAUGGGUCAGCGACUUAUAUUCUGUAGCAAGGUUAACCGUAUAGGGGAGCCGCAGGGAAACCGAGUCUUAACUGGGCGUUAAGUUGCAGGGUAUAGACCCGAAACCCGGUGAUCUAGCCAUGGGCAGGUUGAAGGUUGGGUAACACUAACUGGAGGACCGAACCGACUAAUGUUGAAAAAUUAGCGGAUGACUUGUGGCUGGGGGUGAAAGGCCAAUCAAACCGGGAGAUAGCUGGUUCUCCCCGAAAGCUAUUUAGGUAGCGCCUCGUGAAUUCAUCUUCGGGGGUAGAGCACUGUUUCGGCUAGGGGGUCAUCCCGACUUACCAACCCGAUGCAAACUACGAAUACCGAAGAAUGUUAUCACGGGAGACACACGGCGGGUGCUAACGUCCGUCGUGAAGAGGGAAACAACCCAGACCGCCAGCUAAGGUCCCAAAGUCAUGGUUAAGUGGGAAACGAUGUGGGAAGGCCCAGACAGCCAGGAUGUUGGCUUAGAAGCAGCCAUCAUUUAAAGAAAGCGUAAUAGCUCACUGGUCGAGUCGGCCUGCGCGGAAGAUGUAACGGGGCUAAACCAUGCACCGAAGCUGCGGCAGCGACACUAUGUGUUGUUGGGUAGGGGAGCGUUCUGUAAGCCGUUGAAGGUGGCCUGUGAGGGUUGCUGGAGGUAUCAGAAGUGCGAAUGCUGACAUAAGUAACGAUAAUGCGGGUGAAAAACCCGCACGCCGGAAGACCAAGGGUUCCUGUCCAACGUUAAUCGGGGCAGGGUGAGUCGACCCCUAAGGCGAGGCCGAAAGGCGUAGUCGAUGGGAAACAGGUUAAUAUUCCUGUACUCGGUGUUACUGCGAAGGGGGGACGGAGAAGGCUAUGUUGGCCGGGCGACGGUUGUCCCGGUUUAAGCAUGUAGGCGGAUGUUCCAGGUAAAUCCGGAACGUUACUAACGCUGAGGUGUGAUGACGAGGCACUACGGUGCUGAAGUGACAAAUGCCCUGCUUCCAGGAAAAGCCUCUAAGCAUCAGGUAACAUCAAAUCGUACCCCAAACCGACACAGGUGGUCAGGUAGAGAAUACCAAGGCGCUUGAGAGAACUCGGGUGAAGGAACUAGGCAAAAUGGUGCCGUAACUUCGGGAGAAGGCACGCUGAUAUGUAGGUGAAGUGGUUUACCCAUGGAGCUGAAAUCAGUCGAAGAUACCAGCUGGCUGCAACUGUUUAUUAAAAACACAGCACUGUGCAAACACGAAAGUGGACGUAUACGGUGUGACGCCUGCCCGGUGCCGGAAGGUUAAUUGAUGGGGUUAUCCGUAAGGAGAAGCUCUUGAUCGAAGCCCCGGUAAACGGCGGCCGUAACUAUAACGGUCCUAAGGUAGCGAAAUUCCUUGUCGGGUAAGUUCCGACCUGCACGAAUGGCGUAAUGAUGGCCAGGCUGUCUCCACCCGAGACUCAGUGAAAUUGAACUCGCUGUGAAGAUGCAGUGUACCCGCGGCAAGACGGAAAGACCCCGUGAACCUUUACUAUAGCUUGACACUGAACACUGGUCCUUGAUGUGUAGGAUAGGUGGGAGGCUUUGAAGUGUGGACGCCAGUCUGCAUGGAGCCAUCCUUGAAAUACCACCCUUUAAUGGCUGGUGUUCUAACGUGGGCCCCUAAUCGGGGUUGCGGACAGUGUCUGGUGGGUAGUUUGACUGGGGCGGUCUCCUCCUAAAGAGUAACGGAGGAGCACGAAGGUCAGCUAAUCCUGGUCGGACAUCAGGAGGUUAGUGCAAUGGCAUAAGCUGGCUUGACUGCGAGCGUGACGGCGCGAGCAGGUGCGAAAGCAGGUCAUAGUGAUCCGGUGGUUCUGAAUGGAAGGGCCAUCGCUCAACGGAUAAAAGGUACUCCGGGGAUAACAGGCUGAUACCGCCCAAGAGUUCAUAUCGACGGCGGUGUUUGGCACCUCGAUGUCGGCUCAUCACAUCCUGGGGCUGAAGUAGGUCCCAAGGGUAUGGCUGUUCGCCAUUUAAAGUGGUACGCGAGCUGGGUUUAGAACGUCGUGAGACAGUUCGGUCCCUAUCUGCCGUGGGCGCUGGAGAAUUGAGGGGGGCUGCUCCUAGUACGAGAGGACCGGAGUGGACGCAUCACUGGUGUUCGGGUUGUCAUGCCAAUGGCAUUGCCCGGUAGCUAAAUGCGGAAGAGAUAAGUGCUGAAAGCAUCUAAGCACGAAACUUGCCCCGAGAUGAGUUCUCCCUGACUCCUUGAGAGUCCUGAAGGAACGUUGAAGACGACGACGUUGAUAGGCCGGGUGUGUAAGCGCAGCGAUGCGUUGAGCUAACCGGUACUAAUGAACCGUGAGGCUUAACCUUACAACGCCGAAG